AUUCCGGUUGAUCCUGCCGGAGGCCAUUGCUAUCGGAGUCCGAUUUAGCCAUGCUAGUCGCACGAGUUCAGACUCGUGGCGAAAAGCUCAGUGACACGUGGCCAAACUACCCUAUGGACGGAACUAACCUCGGGAAACUGAGGCUAAUCCUCGAUACGGCUCUCAUGCUGGAACGCCGAGAGCCGGAAACGCCCCGGCGCCAUAGGAUGUGGCUGCGGCCGAUUAGGUUGACGGUGGGGUAACGGCCCACCGUGCCAGUAAUCGGUAUGGGUCAUGAGAGUGAGAACCCAGAGACGGUAUCUGAGACAAGAUACCGGGCCCUACGGGGCGCAGCAGGCGCGAAACCUUUACACUGCACGACAGUGCAAUAAGGGGACUCCGAGUGCGAGGGCAUACAGUCCUCGCUUUUCUGGACCGUAAGGAGGUCCAAGAAUAAGGGCUGGGCAAGACCGGUGCCAGCCGCCGCGGUAAUACCGGCAGCCCGAGUGAUGGCCAUAUUAUUGGGCCUAAAGCGUCCGUAGCUA
RNAcentral lists this ribosomal RNA (524 nucleotides) under uncultured haloarchaeon. Its description in RNAcentral is "bacterial SSU rRNA". It matches the Rfam family "Archaeal small subunit ribosomal RNA", at positions 1 to 527 of the family's 1478-position model. Lineage: Archaea; Methanobacteriati; Methanobacteriota; Halobacteria; Halobacteriales; Halobacteriaceae. The record is from RNAcentral.